AUGCCGGCGCACAAGGAUCUCGCUGUGCGGCAGGGCUCGCUGUCGGUGGAUGGCGUGCCCUUCCUGCUGGAGCCCUGGCGUGAGGACGCGCAUGCUGUCUGCCUCAAGUGGAUGAUGCAUAGUGGCAUCCCCUCGGAAGACGACGAGCCCGACGAGCGCCCAUACCCCCGCACCGAGCCGGGCGUGUGGACUGUGCGGGUGGAGGACGGCAGGCCGGCGAUUGCGCCUGCGCCUACCAUGCGCCCGCAGCCCCACGUGGCCUCCACGGGCUGCCGGGGCAUGCCCUCUAGCGGUGGGGGCGCGACCGCGACCGCGACGACCAAAGAUACCAGCAACGCACCUGGAAGGACACCCUCCUCGGCCUGGGACGGGCAAAUGCUCCCCCCACCCCCCACCCCCGACCAAGGAACGGCAGCGCAGCCGGACCCCGAUCUCCCGCCAUUGGCAAGACUUCGGCAUAUUUCCUUCAGAAGCCACAAGCAACGGCGUCUCCCUCCUCGCCCGCCUCGCCAGCUCGCCAAGCGCACUGUACCGGCCCAUGGCGCACACCCGGUGGCCGAGUUCUUCGAGGGAGCCCAAGACACCCUGCCUCCCCCGCCUCCCCGCGCCAACGCCCAGGCUCCAGUGAUCGACGAGAUGAUAGCCGCCAAGCUGGCCAAGCCGCUCUUCGACGCUGAUGAAGGGGGGGACAGCAAAGUCACCUAG
Molecule: ribosomal RNA, 705 nt
Filed under: Triticum aestivum (bread wheat)
Lineage: Eukaryota; Viridiplantae; Streptophyta; Magnoliopsida; Poales; Poaceae
Description: partial small subunit ribosomal RNA
Source: RNAcentral